Molecule: ribosomal RNA, 120 nt
Filed under: Leifsonia rubra CMS 76R
Lineage: Bacteria; Bacillati; Actinomycetota; Actinomycetes; Micrococcales; Microbacteriaceae
Source: RNAcentral
GUUUCGGCGGCCAUAGCGAGAGGGAAACGCCCGGUAACAUUCCGAACCCGGAAGCUAAGACUCUCUGCGCCGAUGGUACUGCAAGGGGGACCUUGUGGGAGAGUAGGACACCGCCGGACU